This 276-nucleotide long non-coding RNA is filed under the name Rosa chinensis. Its description in RNAcentral is "sRNA RchiOBHm_Chr3g0476561". Lineage: Eukaryota; Viridiplantae; Streptophyta; Magnoliopsida; Rosales; Rosaceae. The record is from RNAcentral.
CGAAAAUCCCAUUUUCCUCCCCAAAUUCGCUCUGUUCUCUCUCCUCCCUACCCGCGUGACCCGACCCGAACCCGGUGUACCGACCCGGUUCGAUCUCCUCCGUCCAACGUCCGCCGACGACGAGACCACUGCAGACGGCUUCGCCUCCUCCUCGCCGUCGUCCCCUUGGUGCUCGAUCACGGCAGCAGCGACCGGAACUUGGAGAUCGGAGCAGCCACAGACCCUAAAACGGAUCCGGCCGGAUUUCACCUAUUCCGGUAUCCCCUUGGCCGAUCC